UUUCUAGAAGCUUGCUGCUGUUGGUUUUCCUGGUACAAACAUGGCUGUUCUCUUCAGAGGAGGAGCUCGGGGCCUCGCUGUCCCUGGGAAUGGCUGGUGUUCUCGUCAGGGGAGCUCUGAUCUUCACCGUGAGUGUCACUUCCUGGCUCCAGUAUAGAUCUGUCAAUCUGGUGUCACAGACCCUUCAUCCCACCACCGACCCUUCUGUCCAACUAAGAAGGUUCAGAGGACCACGGGAAGAACAGAUCUGAGAGGUCUCGUAGCAGGUUCACACAGACUCUUAAUAGGUCAGCAAGGUGCAGAGAAAAAUAGCCUGGACCUGCACAGAAGAGCUGACACCAAGCAAGCAACUGGCUGCAUCCACUGAAUUGUUGAAGGAGAGAAAACAGGAAGGACAGAGAUAUGAGUAACAAAGUAUCUACUAAAAAUGAGUAAGAGACAAGAAGAAACAUCGCCAUCGUGCAGAGGGAAAGAAUGCCUAAACCGGUGCACUCUUCAUGGGAGGAUUCAAAUGAAAACCAAGGACAGCUUCUAUUUAUCAGACUUGAUAAGCAGUUGAAGAUACGUUUCAUAUAUGGCCGGUGGCAGUGCAAUUUGUUCCAGCUCCCAUGGAAAAAUAAGGUUCUGUCUUACCAAAAAUGAAGGGCCAGGGAUUUAACUCAGUGGUUCCAGCACCUGCCUUGCAAGCACAAGGUUCCAAGUUCAAUCCCCAGUACCAAAAAAAAAUAAAAAUAAAAAUAAAAGUUCACAUACUCUUUGACUAAAACAGCUACUGUUGAUAAACUCACCACUGAUUCAAUGAGGCAUGAACAUGAUUAUUUACUAGCAUGUGGUUUGUCAUGGGAAUAGAGACAUUCCC
This 859-nucleotide long non-coding RNA is filed under the name Heterocephalus glaber (naked mole-rat). Its description in RNAcentral is "lncRNA (ENSHGLG00100046714.1)". The record is from RNAcentral. Lineage: Eukaryota; Metazoa; Chordata; Mammalia; Rodentia; Bathyergidae.